Molecule: ribosomal RNA, 623 nt
Filed under: Staphylococcus aureus
Lineage: Bacteria; Bacillati; Bacillota; Bacilli; Caryophanales; Staphylococcaceae
Description: partial 23S ribosomal RNA
Rfam family: Bacterial large subunit ribosomal RNA
Source: RNAcentral
GGUGAAAAGCACCCCGGAAGGGGAGUGAAAUAGAACCUGAAACCGUGUGCUUACAAGUAGUCAGAGCCCGUUAAUGGGUGAUGGCGUGCCUUUUGUAGAAUGAACCGGCGAGUUACGAUUUGAUGCAAGGUUAAGCAGUAAAUGUGGAGCCGUAGCGAAAGCGAGUCUGAAUAGGGCGUUUAGUAUUUGGUCGUAGACCCGAAACCAGGUGAUCUACCCUUGGUCAGGUUGAAGUUCAGGUAACACUGAAUGGAGGACCGAACCGACUUACGUUGAAAAGUGAGCGGAUGAACUGAGGGUAGCGGAGAAAUUCCAAUCGAACCUGGAGAUAGCUGGUUCUCUCCGAAAUAGCUUUAGGGCUAGCCUCAAGUGAUGAUUAUUGGAGGUAGAGCACUGUUUGGACGAGGGGCCCCUCUCGGGUUACCGAAUUCAGACAAACUCCGAAUGCCAAUUAAUUUAACUUGGGAGUCAGAACAUGGGUGAUAAGGUCCGUGUUCGAAAGGGAAACAGCCCAGACCACCAGCUAAGGUCCCAAAAUAUAUGUUAAGUGGAAAAGGAUGUGGCGUUGCCCAGACAACUAGGAUGUUGGCUUAGAAGCAGCCAUCAUUUAAAGAGUGCGUAAU